Molecule: ribosomal RNA, 301 nt
Filed under: uncultured bacterium
Lineage: Bacteria
Description: partial 16S ribosomal RNA
Rfam family: Bacterial small subunit ribosomal RNA
Source: RNAcentral
CAGUCGCCGCGGGAACACGGAGGGGGCUAGCGUUGUUCGGAAUUACUGGGCGUAAAGCGCACGUAGGCGGCUUGGUAAGUUAGAGGUGAAAGCCCGGAGCUCAACUCCGGAAUUGCCUUUAAGACUGCCGAGCUAGUCGGUGAGAGAGGUAAGUGGAAUUCCGAGUGUAGAGGUGAAAUUCGUAGAUAUUCGGAAGAACACCAGUGGCGAAGGCGGCUUACUGGCUCAUUCUAGACGCUGAGGUGCGAAAGCGUGGGGAGCAAACAGGAUUAGAUACCCGAGUAGUCCCUGUCUCUUAUAC